Molecule: ribosomal RNA, 333 nt
Filed under: uncultured bacterium
Lineage: Bacteria
Description: bacterial SSU rRNA
Rfam family: Bacterial small subunit ribosomal RNA
Source: RNAcentral
AGGGUUUGAUUAUGGCUCAGGACGAACGCUGGCGGCGCGCCUAACACAUGCAAGUCGAACGGAGCUGAGAGGAGCUUGCUUUUCUCAGCUUAGUGGCGAACGGGUGAGUAACGCGUGAGUAACCUGCCCUGGAGUGGGGGACAACAGUUGGAAACGACUGCUAAUACCGCAUAAGCCCACGAUCCGGCAUCGGAUUGAGGGAAAAGGAUUUAUUCGCUUCAGGAUGGACUCGCGUCUGAUUAGCUGGUUGGUGAGGUAACGGCCCACCAAGGCGACGAUCAGUAGCCGACUUGAGAGAGUGAUCGGCCACAUUGGGACUGAGACACGGCCCAA